UCCGAUUUGUCACCGGCAGUCUCCCUAGAGUCCCCGACAUAACUCGCUGGCAACUAGGGACAGGGGUUGCGCUCGUUGCGCCACUUAAGGCAACACCUCACGGCACGAGCUGACGACAGCCAUGCACCACCUGUGCAGGCUCCGAAGAGCGCCCGCUUUCACGGGUUUCACCCUGCAUGUCAAGCCCAGGUAAGGUUCUUCGCGUUGCAUCGAAUUAAGCAACAUGCUCCGCCGCUUGUGCGGGGCCCCGUCAAUUCCUUUGAGUUUUAACCUUGCGGCCGUACUCCCCAGGCGGGACACUUAAUGCGUUAGCGUCGGCACGGAAGGUGGGGAUGACGUGCCACGCAAUAACA
RNAcentral lists this unclassified non-coding RNA (353 nucleotides) under uncultured Actinomycetes bacterium. RNAcentral describes it as "uncultured actinobacterium contains 16S-23S intergenic spacer region". The record is from RNAcentral. Lineage: Bacteria; Bacillati; Actinomycetota; Actinomycetes.